ACACACACACACACACACACAUGACAGGGCAAGAAUACCGCUUGGCACAAUAUGCCACCAAUUUCACAAUUCUAGUUCUUAGUUUCCUCAGUUAAUGAACCAUUAGUUUUCUCAGUUAAUGAACCACCAAAUGACAGUAUAAAAUAAGAAGUUAAUAUAAAUGGUAGCUCAACUGCCUAUAUGCGGAAGGCAUUAUAAAUGCCACCUUGAAAACAGAAAAUACUGCAUGUGUUGUUCAAAUUAGCAAGGAGAAGGGUAAAAGUAAUGUGUAAUUAUUGAAUUAUUGACAUGUCUUAAAAGUUAA
Molecule: unclassified non-coding RNA, 304 nt
Filed under: Hevea brasiliensis (rubber tree)
Lineage: Eukaryota; Viridiplantae; Streptophyta; Magnoliopsida; Malpighiales; Euphorbiaceae
Source: RNAcentral